RNAcentral lists this ribosomal RNA (1231 nucleotides) under Epicranion sp. 2 JRC-2010. RNAcentral describes it as "SSU rRNA". It matches the Rfam family "Eukaryotic small subunit ribosomal RNA", at positions 669 to 1789 of the family's 1831-position model. The record is from RNAcentral. Lineage: Eukaryota; Metazoa; Arthropoda; Insecta; Hemiptera; Aphrophoridae.
GUGUUCCACGCUGUCGGUUCGCCGCCCGUCGGUGUCAACUGGCAUGUUUUGUGGAACGUCCUGCCGGUGGCGGUCCGGGCUCUCCGCUCUGCGUAAAGGCGCUCCGGUGCCCGAAGCAGGUCGAAAGUUUCCGGCCGCCGGUCCAAUCCCGCCACGGUGCUCUUUACUGAGUGUCGAGGUGGGCCGGCACGUUUACUUUGAACAAAUUAGAGUGCUUAAAGCAGGCUGGUGUCCGCCUGAAUACUGUGUGCAUGGAAUAAUGGAAUAGGACCUCGGUUCUAUUUUGUUGGUUUACGGAACACGAGGUAAUGAUUAAUAGGGACAGGCGGGGGCAUUCGUAUUGCGACGUUAGAGGUGAAAUUCUUGGAUCGUCGCAAGACGAACCUAAGCGAAAGCAUUUGCCAAGUAUGUUCUCGUUAAUCAAGAACGAAAGUUAGAGGUUCGAAGGCGAUCAGAUACCGCCCUAGUUCUAACCAUAAACGAUGCCAGCCAGCGAUCCGCCGAUGUUCCUCUUAUGACUCGGCGGGCAGCUUCCGGGAAACCAAAGCUUUUGGGUUCCGGGGGAAGUAUGGUUGCAAAGCUGAAACUUAAAGGAAUUGACGGAAGGGCACCACCAGGAGUGGAGCCUGCGGCUUAAUUUGACUCAACACGGGAAACCUCACCAGGCCCGGACACCGGAAGGAUUGACAGAUUGAGAGCUCUUUCUUGAUUCGGUGGGUGGUGGUGCAUGGCCGUUCUUAGUUGGUGGAGCGAUUUGUCUGGUUAAUUCCGAUAACGAACGAGACUCUAGCCUGCUAACUAGGCGAUUUUCCGGUACCCAUAACAGUGUUACCGGCGAUACAUACACUUCUUAGAGGGACAGGCGGCUCCUAGCCGCACGAGACUGAGCAAUAACAGGUCUGUGAUGCCCUUAGAUGUCCUGGGCCGCACGCGCGCUACACUGAAGGAAUCAGCGUGUCUCCUCGGCCGAUAGGCUCCGGGAAACCCGUUGAACCUCCUUCGUGCUAGGGAUUGGGGCUUGCAAUUGUUCCCCAUGAACGAGGAAUUCCCAGUAAGCGCGAGUCAUAAGCUCGCGUUGAUUACGUCCCUGCCCUUUGUACACACCGCCCGUCGCUACUACCGAUUGAAUGAUUUAGUGAGGUCUUCGGACUAGUACGCGGCGAUCGGUCUUACCGGCCGCCGAUGUUGCCGGAAAGAUGACCAAACUUGAUCAUUUAGAGGAAGUAAAAGU